RNAcentral lists this ribosomal RNA (560 nucleotides) under Serratia sp. J53. RNAcentral's name for it is "bacterial SSU rRNA". It matches the Rfam family "Bacterial small subunit ribosomal RNA", at positions 829 to 1389 of the family's 1533-position model. The record is from RNAcentral. Lineage: Bacteria; Pseudomonadati; Pseudomonadota; Gammaproteobacteria; Enterobacterales; Yersiniaceae.
CCCUUGAGGCGUGGCUUCCGGAGCUAACGCGUUAAAUCGACCGCCUGGGGAGUACGGCCGCAAGGUUAAAACUCAAAUGAAUUGACGGGGGCCCGCACAAGCGGUGGAGCAUGUGGUUUAAUUCGAUGCAACGCGAAGAACCUUACCUACUCUUGACAUCCAGAGAAUUCGCUAGAGAUAGCUUAGUGCCUUCGGGAACUCUGAGACAGGUGCUGCAUGGCUGUCGUCAGCUCGUGUUGUGAAAUGUUGGGUUAAGUCCCGCAACGAGCGCAACCCUUAUCCUUUGUUGCCAGCGAUUCGGUCGGGAACUCAAAGGAGACUGCCGGUGAUAAACCGGAGGAAGGUGGGGAUGACGUCAAGUCAUCAUGGCCCUUACGAGUAGGGCUACACACGUGCUACAAUGGCGUAUACAAAGAGAAGCGAACUCGCGAGAGCAAGCGGACCUCAUAAAGUACGUCGUAGUCCGGAUUGGAGUCUGCAACUCGACUCCAUGAAGUCGGAAUCGCUAGUAAUCGUAGAUCAGAAUGCUACGGUGAAUACGUUCCCGGGCCUUGUACACA